RNAcentral lists this unclassified non-coding RNA (400 nucleotides) under soil metagenome. RNAcentral's name for it is "partial contains 5.8S ribosomal RNA, internal transcribed spacer 2, and large subunit ribosomal RNA". The stretch from base 1 to 122 matches the Rfam family "5.8S ribosomal RNA", at positions 35 to 154 of the family's 154-position model. The record is from RNAcentral.
GAUGAAGAACGUAGUGAAAUGCGAUACUUGGUGUGAAUUGCAGAAUCCCGUGAACCAUCGAGUCUUUGAACGCAAGUUGCGCCUCAAGCCAUUAGGUUGAGGGCACGUCUGCCUGGGCGUCACAUAUCGUUGCCUGAUGCCAGUUUCCUCGUGAUGGGUUACUGUGCAGGGCGAAUGAUGGCUUCCCGUGAGCAUUGUUGCCUCAUGGUUGGUUGAAAAUUGAGUCCUUGGUAGGGAGCGCCGUGAUAGAUGGUGGUUGAGUGACGAACGAGACCCAAUCAUGUGAGACCCCUACCGAAUUUGGCCUUCAUGACCCACAUGCGUCUUUGGAACGCUCAUGACGAGACCUCAGGUCAGGCGGGGCUACCCGCUGAGUUUAAGCAUAUCAAUAAGCGGAGGA